Long non-coding RNA from Ctenopharyngodon idella (grass carp), 2944 nucleotides. RefSeq lists it as uncharacterized. Lineage: Eukaryota; Metazoa; Chordata; Actinopteri; Cypriniformes; Xenocyprididae. The record is from RefSeq and is a predicted model, not a curated record. The transcript has 3 exons.
CAUACACCACGCCCUCGCCUUCCUGAGUCGCGGGAAACACCGGAUCACGGUGUAAUCGCAUAAGUAAAGUGCACAGCUCUCAUUAACACAUUAAUCCUAUCCAGAUUGUUUAAAACGUUUUUUCAAAGCGAAGUUUAAAUAUAAAGGCCCGGUUUCACAGACAGGGCUUAGCCUAAGCCAAGAUUAGUCCUUAGAUAUGUAAGUGGCUUUUAUAAACAUACACUAGAAAAUAACAUUACUGGUGUGCAUCUUCAGACAAAACAAUGGCUCUGACAUAUUUUAAGAUAUGUGUGUUCAAGCUUCUUUCAGUUAAAACAGCUCAAACAUGCAUUUUAGUCUGAGACUAGCUUAAGCCUUUUCUGUGAAACCAGGAUAGUCUAGUUAAUGGGAACACAGGGACUACAUCCUGUUAAAUGCAUGUCUGUUGAUAUAUCUCAAUUAAUGUUUCGCAUUAUAUUUGUGUACUUUUGUAGCUUGUAGCUUUGUUUCUAUUCUCUCAGUUUAAAGCAUUUAGUAGAGCUUCUGGCCACACCUCAGAUCUAAGAUGAGAACCUGGCUACCUUGCAUUACAUUGCAUCACAACAGGUAAGUAAAACAGUGUUACUGUUCUGCAGGAUUUAAUAUGGGAAACUGCGAAAACGUCAAACAAUUAUCAGUUCAAACUAAAGGUUGGACUGUGCCUGUGAACGCUUUAUAUUCAUUAUAGAGGUAACUCUAAAUCCGUAUUGGUAUAUGUUGAUGCCCACAUCACGAUCAGGGGACAAAAUGUACAGUUUUGGUGUGAACGUAAAUAUUUAACAUGACAAACUGACCUAUUCUCUUACAAUCAUCUAAAUAUUGCAUUUGUUUUUAGAAGUUGAAAAAAUGGUGGUAAAUUCAGUGGUAAAAUACAAUUCUCUUCACAUUUAUUGUAUAGCACUUAUAUACCAUUUCAAAGCAGCUUUACAGAAAAUGUCUGUAAACGUCAGUUUUUUCGGGUUACUCGAGUAGAUGUGAUUCUCUGUUGCUUAAAGGGAUACUUGAGUCAAAAAUGAAAAUUGUCACCAUUUACCCUCUUUCCAAAACCAUAUGGAAGUGACACAACUGAAGAUAUGGAUGUUAGAGGAAGGAAGGAUGGAGGAGAUAUGGAUGGUACAGAAGACAACACUUUGAAACAUAUAAAAUUAUACUUUUAUUGUCUUAAGGUGUUAUUAUUCGAAAAAAAAAAAAAAAAAAAACCAUAUACAAACUAAACAAGAACAAUCAAAAGAUAAAUAUCAAAUGUUAAAAAAGAAAAAACAACUAAUCUAUAUAUAGGUGAUGAGGUCUUAUUGUUUGGAACAAACUAAACAAACAAAACAAAUGGCUCAGAUUAACAUCAAAUGGUAAAGUGGGGGGAAAACAAAGAAAAAGGGAUGGCUAAUCUAUACGUUGGUGAUUAAUUUUCAGCUGAUCUGAUUUUGAUGACCCUGCGGUUGAUGUGUCUUAGCACAAGUUUCAUUGGCAGCUUGCCGACGAGUUCAUCUGGAUUUCCAGAGAAGAUGGUUUCGGGAACGAUAUACACGACUGAUUCACUGCUGAGGAAGUGGCAGGUGUCAUUUAUCUCAGAGACCCCAGUGAUGUCUGCCUCUGUAUCCUCAACCUGUCCCUCAGGGAUCUGUGGGGGAUAUUAAUGGAUAUUAAAUUCUUGUUUAUUGACCUGUUGUGUUAAAAAUAUCACACUUGCAACUCUAGCCUUUUAUCAGAUUACAGUCAUGCUUUUGUUCACAGGAUAUUUAUAUUUAUUCACUGAAAUGUAGGUUUACAGUUCCAAAAUGCCUGUUCUACCCGACUGUCAUAGCAGCAGUAGUGUGUGCAUUAUUACCUUCACAGAUGUAUUCACUGAGGAGUGAAUUUUCCCUGCCGUUGUUGAGCAUGCAGGGAUGAAGGUGGGUCAGAAGCACCUCAUCACCUACAUAUAGGUCAGUCAGCGCCUGUAUGUUCUAGUGGAUUUCCAUUUUCUCCUGCAUGUUCUUUGGUGGAUUAUCAAUUAAAGACUGUUUAUUGUACUUACCUUCAUUGUGCGCUUCAGUACAGCCACCCUAAUCCAUGACAAAAACAUAAUGAUCACUCAAAUGUGCUUGUGUUUCAGGUACCAGUGGAGUGGAUGAGAAUCAUGUGUUCAUCAGUUCAGGUAAAAAUGUCCAUCUGCCCUGUAAUAAUAAUCUUUCUGACUGCACAUCAACUACAUGGAUCUAUGACAACCAUAUAGUGGCUGUUGAACUGAUAGCUGGAGGGAUAAAGAAGAAAGACACAGAGAGAGAGACAUGAGAGUCUGAGUCUGGAGCGUGACUGCUCUCUGAACAUCAAGAACGUCACAGAAGAAGAUUAUGGAUCUUACAUCUGCAGACAAUAUGUGAACGGAGGAAAACAAGGAACUGAUGCACGUGUUGAUCUGCAUGUUCUUCAUGGUACCAGUGGAGUGGAUGAGAAUCAUGUGUUCAUCAGUUCAGGUAAAAAUGUCCAUCUGCCCUGUAAUAACGCUCUUUCUGACUGCACAUCAACUACAUGGAUCUAUUACAACCAUAUAGCGGCUGUUGAACUGAUAGCUGGAGGAAUAAAGAAGAAAGACACAGAGAGAGAGACAUGAGAGUCUGAGUCUGGAGCGUGACUGCUCUCUGAACAUCAAGAACGUCACAGAAGAAUAUUAUGGAUCUUACAUCUGCAGACAAUAUGUGAAUGGAGGAAAACAAGGAACUGAUGCACGUGUUUAUCUGCAUGUUCUUCAUGUUUCAGUCUCUCCAUCAUCGCAGACUGAGAUCAGUCCAGGCCGCUCUGUGACUCUCUCCUGUCAGUUGUAUUCAGUCUCCUGUGAUGAUUUGGUUCAUUCUGAGGGACUUCAGCUGUUGUGGGUGAAUCAGGCUGGUGUUGAUCUGAAGACAGACUCCAGAUAUCAGAAAUCAGCUCCAGGACACUGUAUCAUCAC